AGGUAGGAAUACCCCGUGAACUU
RNAcentral lists this ribosomal RNA (23 nucleotides) under Pestalotiopsis rhododendri. Its description in RNAcentral is "partial 28S ribosomal RNA". Lineage: Eukaryota; Fungi; Ascomycota; Sordariomycetes; Amphisphaeriales; Sporocadaceae. The record is from RNAcentral.